UACAUCGGCCGGGAAUCGAACCCGGGGCCCGCUUGGCAGGCGAGUAUUCUACCACUGAACCAAAAGC
This 67-nucleotide transfer RNA is filed under the name Cordylochernes scorpioides. RNAcentral describes it as "tRNA-Gly". The record is from RNAcentral. Lineage: Eukaryota; Metazoa; Arthropoda; Arachnida; Pseudoscorpiones; Chernetidae.